Molecule: transfer RNA, 68 nt
Filed under: Takydromus wolteri (mountain grass lizard)
Lineage: Eukaryota; Metazoa; Chordata; Lepidosauria; Squamata; Lacertidae
Description: tRNA-Asp
Source: RNAcentral
AAGGUUCUAGUAAAUAAAUUAUAUAGCCCUGUCAGCGCUAAGUUACAAGCAAAAGCCUGUGAAUCUUA